AGAACACAUUCAUGUUGGGGCAGGGAUANACCAGGCUGUGAGCCUGAAUCUAAACACCUUUGCAGCAUGAUAAGGAGAAAUAUUAUUAACAUACUAGUGUCCAGAACAGAUAAGAUUCCUAGGGUGGGUGGUUGGUUUCUUUAUGAAACUCUGCAUAUUGAGCUAGAUGUACCAGAUGAUUCUAUAGAGGAGUGAGACUGCUUUUUGUACAUAUAUAUAAAUAUAUAUAUNUUNNAAAUANCUNCAAAUGGAGGGCUUAGAAAAGGACCAUUCAUAUUCGGGAAAUCCACAGAAACCAGUGGCUGCNGCGGAAGAGUAUGCAGUUCCAGAAGUUAUUGUCACACGCCGUUUGAGAGAUCGGGAGCUGCUCAGAAAAAGGAAAGCUGAAGCAGAAGAAAAAGAAUUAUACCAAGAACAGAAAAAGAGCAAGUCCUCACGGAGGGGAAGAGGAACAAAGAAAGCCAGAGGCCAACAGCAGGUUCUAGAGCAGCAGCCAGAACCAGAAGGUCCUGAAGAGAAGCCUGAGGAACAGGUGACCAAGCUGGAAGAGAAAGCUGAGACUACAUUGGCGUUCCAAGUGGAGACAUCUAUCCCUCUUCUGGAAACUGGAGAACCAUAUCCUCAGAAGGAAGAACCUGAGGUAGCCCCAACUGAAAGUGCUGUUUUUUCAGUAGAACUAGAGGAGACACCAAGAUCAGAAGAACCAGAAGUCCCUCAGUCCCUGGAAAAUGAUCAUUUGGAACACCAGUUCUAUGGGUCUUUUUAAUUUGAAAGAUGAGAUGAAUGCAGUAAUUGUUGCUGUUCACAUUAUACCUGCUGUUUUGGGUGAACAAUAAAAGCCUGUGACCCCUACUUCUUUCA
Molecule: long non-coding RNA, 861 nt
Filed under: Salvator merianae (Argentine black and white tegu)
Lineage: Eukaryota; Metazoa; Chordata; Lepidosauria; Squamata; Teiidae
Description: lncRNA (ENSSMRG00000008282.1)
Source: RNAcentral